CCUAAAGAUUUUUCAAAAAUUAUUGGAUUAUUUUGUAAAGACAUUUUUAUAAAAUAUAUGGAAGCUUCAAUUUUUCUUAGAACAUACUACAUUGAAGAACUUUUGUUAAUUUGAAAACAUCAUCUUCCGCUUCAAAUCAAGGUCUUACGCUUAAUAACCGUAAAACUGGUAUUGAACUUACAAUGUCAUUAGCUGAGUUUCAAAAAUGUGUAUUGAACACAUUGUCUACUAUGAAAUAUGACAUAAAUUGUUGUGUACUUACUAAUCAACAAAUUAAUGCUAACAUGAAUGCAUUGCUGGAAAAUUUAAACAAAAAUGCAGUAAUAUCAGAUGAUGGUUUUAAUGAUUAUGACUUAAAUGAUAUACUUCCAAUCGAAAAUCAUGAAUCUCUACAAGAAUUUGAAUUCAAGCU
Molecule: long non-coding RNA, 412 nt
Organism: Rhopalosiphum maidis (corn leaf aphid)
Lineage: Eukaryota; Metazoa; Arthropoda; Insecta; Hemiptera; Aphididae
Exons: 3
Source: RefSeq, a predicted model, not a curated record